AAGAAUUAAAGAGCCGCGGUAUAUUGACCGUGCAAAGGUAGCAUAAUCAUUAGUUUUUUAAUUGGAAACUUGUAUGAAUGGUUGGACAAAAGAGAAGCUGUCUAUGUAGUAAUUAUUGAAUUUAACUUUUAAGUGAAAAGGCUUAAAUAAUUUAAAGGGACGAUAAGACCCUAUAAAACAUUUUAUUGGGGCGAUAAAGGUAUAAAUAUUAACUGCUUAAAAUUAAAACAAUAAUAUUUGAAAUGAUCCUUUAUAGAGAAUAAAAGACUAAGUUACUUUAGGGAUAACAGCGUAAUUUCUUUUGAGAGCUCAUAUCGAAAAAGAAGAUUGCGACCUCGAUGUUGAAUUAAAAUGUCUAUUUAGGGCAGCCCUUAGAUAAGAAGAUCUGUUCGAUCUUUAAAUUUUU
Molecule: ribosomal RNA, 406 nt
Filed under: Pilumnus longicornis
Lineage: Eukaryota; Metazoa; Arthropoda; Malacostraca; Decapoda; Pilumnidae
Description: partial 16S large subunit ribosomal RNA
Rfam family: Bacterial large subunit ribosomal RNA
Source: RNAcentral